AGAGUUUGAUCCUGGCUCAGAUUGAACGCUGGCGGAAUGCUUUACACAUGCAAGUCGAACGGCAGCACGGGGGCAAUCCUGGCGGCGAGUGGCGAACGGGUGAGUAAUACAUCGGAACGUGCCCAAUCGUGGGGGAUAACGCAGCGAAAGCUGUGCUAAUACCGCAUACGAUCUACGGAUGAAAGCAGGGGAUCGCAAGACCUUGCGCGAAUGGAGCGGCCGAUGGCAGAUUAGGUAGUUGGUGAGGUAAAGGCUCACCAAGCCUUCGAUCUGUAGCUGGUCUGAGAGGACGACCAGCCACACUGGGACUGAGACACGGCCCAGACUCCUACGGGAGGCAGCAGUGGGGAAUUUUGGACAAUGGGCGAAAGCCUGAUCCAGCCAUGCCGCGUGCAGGAUGAAGGCCUUCGGGUUGUAAACUGCUUUUGUACGGAACGAAAAGGUCUUUUCUAAUAAAGAAGGCUCAUGACGGUACCGUAAGAAUAAGCACCGGCUAACUACGUGCCAGCAGCCGCGGUAAUACGUAGGGUGCAAGCGUUAAUCGGAAUUACUGGGCGUAAAGCGUGCGCAGGCGGUUAUAUAAGACAGUUGUGAAAUCCCCGGGCUCAACCUGGGAACUGCAUCUGUGACUGUAUAGCUAGAGUACGGUAGAGGGGGAUGGAAUUCCGCG
RNAcentral lists this ribosomal RNA (670 nucleotides) under uncultured bacterium. RNAcentral describes it as "bacterial SSU rRNA". It matches the Rfam family "Bacterial small subunit ribosomal RNA", at positions 8 to 673 of the family's 1533-position model. The record is from RNAcentral.